GAUGAACGCUGGCGGCGUGCCUAAUACAUGCAAGUCGAGCGAACAGACGAGGAGCUUGCUCCUCUGACGUUAGCGGCGGACGGGUGAGUAACACGUGGAUAACCUACCUAUAAGACUGGGAUAACUUCGGGAAACCGGAGCUAAUACCGGAUAAUAUAUUGAACCGCAUGGUUCCAUAGUGAAAGACGGUUUUGCUGUCACUUAUAGAUGGAUCCGCGCCGCAUUAGCUAGUUGGUAAGGUAACGGCUUACCAAGGCGACGAUGCGUAGCCGACCUGAGAGGGUGAUCGGCCACACUGGAACUGAGCCACGGUCCAGACUCCUACGGGAGGCAGCAGUAGGGAAUCUUCCGCAAUGGGCGAAAGCCUGACGGAGCAACGCCGCGUGAGUGAUGAAGGUCUUCGGAUCGUAAAACUCUGUUAUUAGGGAAGAACAAAUGUGUAAGUAACUAUGCACGUCUUGACGGUACCUAAUCAGAAAGCCACGGCUAACUACGUG
RNAcentral lists this ribosomal RNA (497 nucleotides) under uncultured bacterium. RNAcentral's name for it is "partial 16S ribosomal RNA". It matches the Rfam family "Bacterial small subunit ribosomal RNA", at positions 28 to 507 of the family's 1533-position model. The record is from RNAcentral.